GACGAACGCUGGCGGCGUGCUUAACACAUGCAAGUCGAACGGAAAGGCCCUGCUUGCAGGGUACUCGAGUGGCGAACGGGUGAGUAACACGUGGGUGAUCUGCCCUGCACUUCGUGAUAAGCCUGGGAAACUGGGUCUAAUACCGGAUAGGAGCCAUCCUUAGUGUGAUGGUUGGAAAGUUUUUUCGGUGUAGGAUGAGCUCGCGGCCUAUCAGCUUGUUGGUGGGGUAAUGGCCUACCAAGGCGGCGACGGGUAGCCGGCCUGGGAGGGUGGACGGCCACAAUGGGACUGGGAUACGGCCCAGACCCCUACGGGAGGCAGCAGUGGGGAAAAUUGCACAAUGGGCGGAAGCCUGAUGCAGCGAAGCCGCGUGGGGGAGGACGGCCUUCGGGUUGUAAACUCCUUUCGCUAGGGACGAAGCUUUUUGUGACGGUACCUAGAUAAGAAGCACCGGCUAACUACGUG
Molecule: ribosomal RNA, 465 nt
Filed under: uncultured bacterium
Lineage: Bacteria
Description: partial 16S ribosomal RNA
Rfam family: Bacterial small subunit ribosomal RNA
Source: RNAcentral